CGCGUAGGCGGCUCUGUAAGUCCGACGUGAAAGCCCCUGGCUUAACUGGGAGAGGUCGUUGGAUACUGCAAAGCUCGAGGUUAGGAGAGGAAAGUGGAAUUCCCGGUGUAGUGGUGGAAUGCGUAGAUAUCGGGAGGAACUCCAGUGGCGAAAGCGACUUUCUGGCCUACACCUAACGCUGAAGCGCGAAAGCGUGGGGAGCGAACA
Molecule: ribosomal RNA, 207 nt
Filed under: uncultured bacterium
Lineage: Bacteria
Description: partial 16S ribosomal RNA
Rfam family: Bacterial small subunit ribosomal RNA
Source: RNAcentral